GAUUGGGGUAAAGUAGACGCUGGAGAGGGCACAAACUAGAGGAGCUGAACAUGUUAACUCAUGUGCUGGGCCAGGUUUAAGUCCAGCUCCACCAUGCCAUCCCGCCCCUCCCCUCCCACCCCAUUCCAGCUCUUCAUUUUUAGUUCACACUUCACCGUAAGGAUGCUUGGAUUUGGCCAAUUUGGCCACCUAUCCAUGGUUCAGGUCACUUCCUGACAGUAGCUGUAGGAGUGGACCUUGUUUUCCCUAGUCCCUUCCUUCAGGUCCCUUCCCUCAGGCCCACGGUGUUGAUGAAAAGGAGACAGCAGUCACUGAAUCUCGUGUCAAGCUUUAUUUGGCAGGUGGCUUUGCUCAGUACUCAGAUCUCGUGGCUCCUUGGCAGCUCAGGGCUCAGACAUGGACAUGGAAUGGUGGUGUGGCCUCACGUGACGUUGCUUGGGCAGCAGGCUCCUGUUUUUCAUCGGACGGUGGCAUUUUUCAAGAUGUGGCGAGAUGCUCUUGAAGUCUGGUAAAAUUCUCAGGCAGGAGUUUUGAUGGACUUGCUAUUCUGUGCAUCUAGUAUUUUUUACACCUUAUGGUGUAUGAGCGGCGGCGACGGCAGCAUCCUGGAAAGCAUCGCCUCCUCCGUCUGCGACAUCUUCGCCUGCGACGGCGGCAUCUGCUCCUGCUUUUGCUGCGGCAGCAUCGGUAUCUGGCCAUGGUGCUAGCUUGGCCGGGAGCUGGCUCAGAGCAGGGGACACCACCUGGGUCGAGCCAGCCAACCUGUGAGCAGGCACCUUCUUGACAGCUGCUUCUCGGUGUCUCUGAAGUGUCUAAAGAUGCCGAGGGGACCAUGAAGCAGGAGUGAGCAGAUGUGUGGGAAUGUGAAAAGUGCCCAGUAUGGAGAAGGCCUCAAACAAACAGCGCCUUUCCCAUCAA
This is a non-coding RNA of Mus caroli (Ryukyu mouse), 918 nucleotides long. NCBI's taxonomy places the organism in Eukaryota, Metazoa, Chordata, Mammalia, Rodentia, Muridae. The record is from RefSeq and is a predicted model, not a curated record.